UACGGGAGGCAGCAGUGGGGGAAUAUUGCACAAUGGGCGAAAGCCUGAUGCAGCUAUGCCGCGUGUAUGAAGAAGGCCUUAGGGUUGUAAAGUACUUUCAUCGGGGAGGAAAAACAAAACUAAUAAUUUUAUUUCUUGACGUUACCCGAAAAAGAAGCACCGGCUAACUCCGUGCCAGCAGCCGCGGUAAUACGGAGGGUGCUAGCGUUAAUCAGAAUUACUGGGCGUAAAGAGCACGUAGGUGGUUUUUUUAAGUCAGAUGUGAAAUCCCUGGGCUUAACCUAGGAACUGCAUUUUGAAACUGAAAUACUAGAGUAUCGUAGAGGGAGGUAGAAUUCUAGGUGUAGCGGUGAAAUGCGUAGAUAUCUGGAGGAAUACCUGUGGCGAAAGCGGCCUCCUAAACGAAUACUGACACUGAGGUGCGAAAGCGUGGGGAGCGAAACAGGGAUUAGAUAC
This 456-nucleotide ribosomal RNA is filed under the name uncultured bacterium. RNAcentral's name for it is "bacterial SSU rRNA". It matches the Rfam family "Bacterial small subunit ribosomal RNA", at positions 340 to 785 of the family's 1533-position model. The record is from RNAcentral.